Molecule: ribosomal RNA, 497 nt
Filed under: uncultured bacterium
Lineage: Bacteria
Description: partial 16S ribosomal RNA
Rfam family: Bacterial small subunit ribosomal RNA
Source: RNAcentral
GAUGAACGCUGGCGGCGUGCCUAAUACAUGCAAGUCGAGCGAACAGACGAGGAGCUUGCUCCUCUGACGUUAGCGGCGGACGGGUGAGUAACACGUGGAUAACCUACCUAUAAGACUGGUAUAACUUCGGGAAACCGGAGCUAAUACCGGAUAAUAUAUUGCACCGCAUGGUUCAAUAGUGAAAGACGGUUUUGCUGUCACUUAUAGAUGGAUCCGCGCCGCAUUAGCUAGUUGGUAAGGUAACGGCUUACGAAGGCAACGAUGCGUAGCCGACCUGUGAGGGUGAUCGGCCACCCUGGAACUGAGACACGGUCAAGACUCCUACGGGAGGCAGCAGUAGGGAAUCGUCCGCAAUGGGCGAAAGCCUGACGGAGCAACGCCGAGUGAGUGAUGAAGGUCUUCGGAUCGUAAAACUCUGUUAUUAGGGAAGAACAAAUGUGUAAGUAACUAUGCACGUCUUGACGGUACCUAAUAAGAAAGCCACGGCUAACUACGUG